GUGCGUCAUCCCAUUACCUCACCGCCGCCAUUGUGAUCGCUAUGGUUAACCGCGGACUUGAUAGCGCCUGCCUGGACGCGGCGUGCUGCUCAGCGGGCGAGUGUGCUUGCAGCGAGCGAGCGGCGCGGAAGCUUUUGGCUCCCUCGUGACUCGCCUGACUUCUCCUCCUCCAGCUCAGCACCUCCCAGUCCACCUCCAGGCAGACAUGGAGCGUCACACCAGCCUCGACAUCCUCCUCCUUCAGCUGCUGCUCCUCCCUCUGCUCUUCAGCCGGGGAUGCGCAGCGGCGGCUGGCGACAAGGAGACAGCGUGGCUUUCCUUCUCCACAGAGGAGCUUGAACUGGUGGCGAAGGAUCAUGAGAACGCCACCGUCUUUCUUCUGCUCAGAGGGACGACCCAGGAGUGUUUCACCGUCAACUUCACCUACAAGCCCGCCAGCCCAAGCAUCGUUCCUCUCAGUGACCUUCUCCUCUGCCCUGACCAGCUGCCGACACCACCUACCCCCUCAUCUCCCCGUCCUUCCAAGGGCUGUAGAGGCUGCGAGACUGACCAUGCGGAGGAAACGAGGGAAAAUGGGGGAGAUUUGUCCUUGCUGCCCUCAUCCGCCCCUCACUCACACCCCAGUUCCUUCAUGCAGCUUCUUCAGGCCUGGGCUUAUAGACUGGGAGGCGGUCAGGAGUCCUCAGAGAGUGGUGAAGUAAUAGCCAACGUGACCUUGGAUAUUGUGAGUCGCUGGGUUGGCAAAACUACUCUGAGUGUGGCGACCAACUCUUCCAGUGUGGGAGUGGUAGAUACCUUUGUGGAGGUCUCGGUGAUCCAUACGCGGGCGCUGGACGUGGCAAGUGCCGUGAUGGGAUGGGCCUACACGGUGAUCUGGGACGUCUCCUUCCUCCCGCAGGUGAUCCUCAACUGGCGCAGGAAAAACGUGGAGGGUUACAGUUUCGACAACGUGGCGCUGAAUGUGAUCGCAUACCUCUACUACGCGCUCUUCAAUGUGGCCUUCUACUGGGUGCCUCUCAUAAAGGAUCAAUUCAAGGAACGAUACCCAAGAACAGUCAACCACGUGGAAACCAAUGACGUGUUCUUCGCCACCUACGCGUUCUUCAUCCAGAUCGUGCUCGCCGUUCAGUGCUUCUUGUACGGCAGGAACACGGGGCUGAGUGUGUCGUGGCCGUGCAUCGGGCUAGUGGCUGCUUCCGUGCUGGCCGUGGCCGUGGACUGCGUACUGGUGGCCUUCGGGGUGGUGUGGUGGCUCGAUGUCUUCUACCUGAUGUCCUAUAUGAAGCUGAUCAUCACGCCGCUCAAGUAUAUUCCUCAGGUGUACGUGAUCUACAAGGUGAAGAGCACCAAAGGCUUCAGCAUCUUGGGCGCCGUCAUGGACUUCAGCGGCGGCGUGCUGUCCCUGGCGCAAAUGUUCCUGCUCUCUGCCAACAGCAAUGACUAUCUCUCCAUCUUCACCAACUUCAGCAAGUUUGGUCUGGGCGUCGUCACUCUUAUCUUCGACAUCACCUACUUCUUUCAGCACUUUUACUACCACCUCAGGGUUCGGAAGUAAGGAUACCAAAGAGUGCUGAGGGAGGAGGAGGAGCAGCCGUGCAGGUGUGACAACUCGAUGACAGCCCUCCUUCUCACCUCCCUCGCGCACUCCUAUCCAGGGGGGCCGCCUGUGACUACUUGACAUUCUUGCUGUGCAGUCAGGUUUGAUUACUGCUCAACUCGAUGAAUUACGUGUAUUCCAGUGUUCCAGAAAACUGAGAGGCUUUGGCUUUGACGGGAUGCUGUUAUUGGUUGUGUGUGUGUGCCUGUGUGUGUGUGCUCGCGCCAGUCAUUGCGGUGCAAUACCAGGCAGACCAACACCGCCGCACGCAUAAAGCAGCGUCAUUAUGAUUCAAUACGCAACACGACGUUUUCACUGUACUAUUAUGUAAUAAAGUGUUAUGUCAAAUGGAGGAAGAGGAGAAGGAUAUUGCAACAAGAGUGUCAAUGGUCGUCGAGAAUGCUGCCGCAAAGUAGAGGAACUGUUAUGUCUGAACAAAACAAACAUUAAGAUCGAUAAUUAGAUGAUUGAAUAAUAUAAUGAUAAUUGAUGAAUAGGUAUAAUGCACAUAUUAUACCAGAUUAUAUUGAUGAAUGUGUUGGUGGAUGAGGGAACUGACAGAUAAAUAGGUAACUAGAUAAAAAGGAUGAACUGAUAGGUAAAAUGAAUGGAAGUAGGUAUAGAUGGGUAGUUUUGGAUGGAUGAAGCAAUGUAAAGAUAGAUAAAUAUGUAGAUGGAUGAAUAGAUUGACAAAUGUAGAUAAACAAUUACCAAAAUAAGCAUACAGCCAUUACACUAGGAAACCCCGAGUAUGAAACACGGGUCGAAACAUCGGUCUACCGAAACAAGGUUCAUUUUCGGCUUCAUGAAUCGGCAACCGGCCACUCUUUGCAUGGCGGUCGGCCUAGGUAGGCUGUGCAAGAGUUGUCCUUUUGAAUUAGUGCUGCAGCUCCCUGCCAGACAUGAACAUUGCAUCCCUGUGUCAGUGAGGAAGUCCAGGGUAGCAGGUGACCAUGCUGUCUCUUCGUUUCACUGGGAGCUAGAUAGCUCAGUAACGAAGGACAAUAAUAGAAUCAUUAAAGCAUAAAAUGAAUAAAGAAAAAUAGGCUUUUCAUUAAAGCUAAAUUGAAACUAGCAACAUACGUAACAGCACAAAAUUAGGAAUACAAGAUUCAAGCAGUGGAUAAGUUGUUUGAGAGGUGCUGGGGUGUGCACAAUUGUUCUGCUCACAACACAGGCACUUGUGUAAGUAAUGAAAUUUAAGUGAUGAAAAUAUACAUGCAGAAUGUAUUACAUCAAGAAGGGAGAAUGAAGAAGGAAUAUUGCUGUGUGGAUGGUGAGGUGUAGAACUCAAAUAAUUUUGGAUACAUGAAAUGAAGAAUGAGUGCAACAACAAGAAAGAUAUACAAGAAUGGAAUUAAAAGCUGGGAGAUUCAAAAUGGAAGAGGAGGAACAGAAUGGAAUAGGUAAAGACAGGGCAUAUGAACAAGCACAAUGGAGAAGAGGGCUUUAAAGAAGAGAUUAAGGAAUUAGGAGGGGCUCCUAAUGAGUGCUGAUGGGGAUGUAUUUAAUAACAUUCAAAACAAUAGUAGCAUGUAGCAAUUACAGAGAAAUCUGGAAUUAUGUUGAACAUGUGUGUAAAUAGUAAUUCGCAGUAUUUAUAUUCAUCAUGCCACAAAUGUACUCAAGCUUUGUUCUAGAACAGUGUCCAGAAAAUUUGUCCCUGGUGAGAUACACAAAUCUGUUAAAUGAUGGUGCUGGGUACCUAGCUCUGUGGUGCAGUCCUUGAACAAUCAGCCUGUAGCUGAAAUGCUGGAAGUUAGUUAGGUCCUGGUUUACAGCAGUUUGUUGGUUAUUGGUGAGAAGAGUACUUUUUGCUACAGUUUGGAGCUGCAGGUUGAGCAUUCAAGAACUGCACCAACCCCUCUGUUAGGUCUGUGAAUCUGUCAUCAAACUUGCUGGACACAAAGCUCAUGUAAAUAUGUAUGAGGCUGAAUUAAACAGAGCACUAAUUACACAACCUCUUUAUCUAUCACUGCAAGACCCAUGUGCUGCUACUACUCCUUUACACAUUAUUUCACUAUAAGCACUUGUCCCCUCUUUUUGUUUGAUCCUGGUGAAAGAUCCACAAAUCUGACUGAGGGUGGUUGUGUCCAGCAAUAUGAUAGGAAGAUUAUUAGAUGCGACAGUUUUGAGGGGCAAAGGUGGGGAGAUUUGACCACCAUCUGGUGUAAGGGAAAUUGAAAUUAUGUUUGAGUACAGUGGUAACAAGAUGAGUUGGUCAUGAUAGGGGGAAUAUGAGAGAAAAGUGUAAGGCCAUGAAAUGGAUGGUGUAGAGAGAGCAUUAAUGCAAGUAAAACAUAUGAGGAAAAUGCAAGAGUGAUAAGGAAUUCAGUAAGUAGUUUAAAACUCUUGUCACACCUAGCUCAUCUUGUUACCAUGUCCUCAAGCCAACUUCCAAUUUGGCUUACACCAGGUAAUGGUCAGAUCCACCUUUGCUUUUUACAAAGUUGUUUGUCACAUUUAUUUAUCUCAUAUUCCUGGACACAACUAUCCUCAAUCACUGCCUUAUUAAUAACCCUUCCAUCUACAUUUUUCUCUUUUUACAAAUAUAUCCUCCUUUAAACUGAAAAUUCCCCAAUUCCUGCUCCUGUCAUCUUUUCUCCAUUUUUUCUUCCAAGCACACCAAUCAACCACACUUUAAACUAUUACAUUCACAACCCCGUAGCAUGUGUUUACAUCCCCCAGCAGUAUACAUCUACAUUUGGUCAAAACCUCCACAAACACUCAACAUCAUUCCAAAAGACCUUUUUUUCUCUCUUCUUCAAUGGUCACUGGUAGACCCCCAUGCUUUCACAAAUACUUCAGCUGCCACUGUAGUCACUUCUCCAACUACCACCUUAAUUUUUCUCUCUUGCAAACCUUGCUCCAUUUUUACCACAAGAUGACUAAAUGUUUAAAAGGUGACAAAUUAAUCUCCCCUGCUAUGUACAUAGCUAAGACCAUACAGUUUUGCUAAGGUUAUGAGAGAGCAUUACCCCUCUCAACACGAAACUCAUGAACUAAGAAUGAACUCAACUUUUCAGUUGCAGCAUAAACAUGCAAACACUGUAUCAGAGCUGUCCAACUUCCUCAGUAUAUGUGUCACCAGGAUCAAACUCACUAGAUACUGUUAACAUGUAAAUUGCAUUUGUCUAUCUAUCGUAUCUGUGUACCAACCAGCAAUCUCGCACAGGACAGCUCACAGCACAUUUGUACUGGAUUAAAUAAAAGUACUUACUAU
Scylla paramamosain (green mud crab) is the source of this 4820-nucleotide RNA transcript. It is a transcript of the gene named cystinosin-like, with no coding region annotated. Lineage: Eukaryota; Metazoa; Arthropoda; Malacostraca; Decapoda; Portunidae. The record is from RefSeq and is a predicted model, not a curated record. The transcript has 11 exons.